RNAcentral lists this ribosomal RNA (484 nucleotides) under uncultured bacterium. RNAcentral's name for it is "partial 16S ribosomal RNA". It matches the Rfam family "Bacterial small subunit ribosomal RNA", at positions 30 to 507 of the family's 1533-position model. The record is from RNAcentral.
AUUGAACGCUGGCGGUAGGCCUAACACAUGCAAGUCGAGCGGCAGAAGGGAGCUUGCUCCUGGAUUCAGCGGCGGACGGGUGAGUAAUGCCUAGGAAUCUGCCUGGUAGUGGGGGAUAACGUCCGGAAACGGGCGAUCAUACCGCAUACGUCCUGAGGGCGAACGUGGGGGAUCUUCGGACCUCCCGAUAUUAGAUGAGCCGAGGUCGGAUUAGCUAGUUGGUGGGGUAAAGGCCUACCAAGGCGACGAUCCGUAGCUGGUCUGAGAGGAUGAUCAGUCACACUGGAACUGAGACACGGUCCAGACUCCUACGGGAGGCAGCAGUGGGGAAUAUUGGACAAUGGGCGAAAGCCUGAUCCAGCCAUGCCGCGUGUGUGAAGAAGGUCUUCGGAUUGUAAAGCACUUUAAGUGGGGAGGAAGAGCAGUAAGUUAAUACCUCGCUGUUUUGACGGUACCAACAGAAUAAGCACCGGCUAACUUCGUG